AAGAGACAGCAGCCGCCGCGGGAAUACGAAGGGUGCAAGCGUUAAUCGGAAUUACUGGGCGUAAAGCGCGCGUAGGUGGUUCAUUAAGUUGGAUGUGAAAGCCCUGGGCUCAACCUGGGAACUGCAUCCAAAACUGGUGAGCUAGAGUACGGUAGAGGGUAGUGGAAUUUCCUGUGUAGCGGUGAAAUGCGUAGAUAUAGGAAGGAACACCAGUGGCGAAGGCGACUACCUGGACUGAUACUGACACUGAGGUGCGAAAGCGUGGGGAGCAAACAGGAUUAGAUACCCGAGUAGUCCCUGUCUCUUAUAC
Molecule: ribosomal RNA, 310 nt
Filed under: uncultured bacterium
Lineage: Bacteria
Description: partial 16S ribosomal RNA
Rfam family: Bacterial small subunit ribosomal RNA
Source: RNAcentral